CGCGGCCUAUCAGCUUGUUGGUGAGGUAAUGGCUCACCAAGGCUUCGACGGGUAGCCGGCCUGAGAGGGCGACCGGCCACACUGGGACUGAGAUACGGCCCAGACUCCUGCGGGAGGCAGCAGUGGGGAAUAUUGCACAAUGGGCGCAAGCCUGAUGCAGCAACGCCGCGUGCGGGAUGACGGCCUUCGGGUUGUAAACCGCUUUCAGUAGGGACGAAGCUAACGUGACGGUACCUACAGAAGAAGGACCGGCUAACUACGUGCCAGCAGCCGCGGUGAUACGUAGGGUCCGAGCGUUGUCCGAAAUUAUUGGGCGUAAAGGGCUUGUAGGCGGUCCGUCGCGUCAGGAGUGAAAACUCGGGGCUUAACCCCGAGCCUGCUUUUGAUACGGGCGGACUAGAGGGAUGCAGGGGAGAACGGAAUUCCCGGUGGAGCGGUGGAAUGCGCAGAUAUCAGGAGGAACACCGGUGGCGAAGGCGGUUCUCUGGGCAUCACCUGACGCUGAGAAGCGAAAGCGUGGGGAGCAAACAGGCUUAGAUACCCUGGUAGUCCACGCCGUAAACGGUGGGCACUAGGUGUGGGGGACAUUCCACGUUCUCCGUGCCGAAGCUAACGCAUUAAGUGCCCCGCCUGGGGAGUACGG
Molecule: ribosomal RNA, 643 nt
Filed under: uncultured bacterium
Lineage: Bacteria
Description: bacterial SSU rRNA
Rfam family: Bacterial small subunit ribosomal RNA
Source: RNAcentral